This is a non-coding RNA of Paramuricea clavata, 204 nucleotides long. The record is from the annotation of a GenBank genome assembly. Lineage: Eukaryota; Metazoa; Cnidaria; Anthozoa; Malacalcyonacea; Plexauridae.
CUGAAGAAUCUGCACAAGAUGCCUUUGUGAACCAAGAACCGGCAAGCAGAUUUCUGAUCUUCCUAUUUGACAAAAAACACUUUCUGACUGCAGGAUCCCUUGGUCUGCCAAUGUUCUGUACAAUAUCUGCCAUUUCCGUACAUUUUUUCCAAGGAAAAAAUUCCUGCGCAAAAUAAAACUUUUCAGUGUGUCCCCACCUCCACC